GCUGAUCCUGCUGGAGGGUACUGCUAUCGGAAUUCCACUAAGACAUGCAAGUCAAAUUACUCGCAGAAGUAAUUGGCGUACGGCUCAGUAACACGUAGCUAAUCUACCUUUAGGAUGGGUCAAACCCGGGAAACUGGGGGCAAUUCCCAAUAAGUGAAAAAAUCUGGAAUGAUUUUUCGCUGAAACGAGACACGCUAUUGUGCGUGAAUCGCCUUAAGAUGAGGCUGCGGCUGAUUAGGUUGUUGGCGGGGUAAUGGCCCACCAAGCCGAAGAUCAGUACGGGCCUUGGGAGAAGGAGCCCGGAGAAGGACACUGAGAUGAGGGUCCUAGCCCUACGGGGUGCAGCAGUUAGGAAACCUUUACAAUGCGCGAAAGCGUGAUAGGGGAAUUCCGAGUGCCAAUAUUUAUAUUGGCUUUUGCCAAGUCAAAACAGCUUGGAGAAUAAAGGGAGGGCAAGAUACGUGCCAGCCGCCGCGGUAAUACGUACUCCCUUAGUGGUAUCCGUGAAUAUUGGGCCUAAAGCGUCUGUAGCCGGCUUGAAAAGUCCUUGGUGAAAUCCGCGUGCUUAACGCGUGGAAUGGCUUAGGAUACUUUCAGGCUCGAGGACGGGAGAGGUUGACGGAAUUUCUAGGGUAGCAGUGAAAUGCGAUAAUCCUAGAAGGACCACCAGUAGCGAAGGCGGUCAACCAGAACGUGCCUGACGGUGAGAGACGAAAGCUAGGGGAGCGACCCGGAUUAGAUACCCGGUUAGUCCUAGCCGUAAACGAUGCAGACUAGGUGUACUAAAACCUAAGUGGUUAUGGUGUGCCGACGCGAAGGCAUUAAGUCUGCCGCCUGGGAAGUACGAUCGCAAGGUUGAAACUUAAGGGAAUUGGCGGGGGCGCAUACCAGGGGUGGAUGCUGUGGUUUAAUCGAACGAAACGCCAGAAAACUCACCAGGGCCGACAGCAGAAUGAUGGACAGUCUGAAGGGCUUUCCUGACACGCUGAGAGGUAUUGUAUGGUCAUCGUCAGCUCGUACUAUGAAGCGUCCUGUCAACUCAGGCAACGGGCGAGACCCACAUUCUUAGUUGCUAGCCGUUUUUCCAAAAGCGGUGCACUCUAGGAAGACUGCCGAAGCGAUUUGGAGGAAGGAGUGGUCGACGGUAGAUCGGUAUGGUCCGAAUGCCCUUGGGCUACACGCGGCAUACAAUGGUUGCAACAAUGAGUUCCGACUCCGCGAGGAGAAGGUAAUCCCCGAAAUGCAACCUUAGUUUGGAUUGUGGGUUGAAACUCACCCACAUGAAAAUGGAAUCCCAAGUAAUCGCGCGUCAUCAUCGCGCGGUGAAAACGUCCCUGCGCCUUGCACACACCGCCCAUCAAGCCAGCCGAGUGAAGCUGAGAUGAAGCGCUUUCCUUCGGAAGGUGCUGAUUCUUUGUUUUGCAAGGGGGGC
RNAcentral lists this ribosomal RNA (1432 nucleotides) under metagenome. RNAcentral describes it as "bacterial SSU rRNA". It matches the Rfam family "Archaeal small subunit ribosomal RNA". The record is from RNAcentral.